CCGGGCGUAGCUCAGCCCUGGUAGAGCGGCCGGCUGUAGACCGGCAGGUCGUGGGUUCAAGUCCCACCGCCCGGA
RNAcentral lists this transfer RNA (75 nucleotides) under Candidatus Nanobsidianus stetteri. RNAcentral's name for it is "tRNA-Tyr". It matches the Rfam family "tRNA". Rfam says of the family: Transfer RNA (tRNA) molecules are approximately 80 nucleotides in length. Their secondary structure includes four short double-helical elements and three loops (D, anti-codon, and T loops). RNAcentral also lists the same sequence under 2 other names. Lineage: Archaea; Nanobdellati; Nanobdellota; Candidatus Nanoarchaeia; Nanoarchaeales; Nanopusillaceae. The record is from RNAcentral.